RNAcentral lists this ribosomal RNA (557 nucleotides) under uncultured bacterium. RNAcentral's name for it is "partial 16S ribosomal RNA". It matches the Rfam family "Bacterial small subunit ribosomal RNA", at positions 355 to 900 of the family's 1533-position model. The record is from RNAcentral.
UAGGGAAUCUUCCACAAUGGACGCAAGUCUGAUGGAGCAACGGCCGCGUGAGUGAAGAAGGUUUUCGGACCGUAAAGCUCUGUUGUUGGUGAAGAAGGAUAGAGGUAGUAACUGGCCUUUAUUUGACGGUAAUCAACCAGAAAGUCACGGCUAACUACGUGCCAGCAGCCGCGGUAAUACGUAGGUGGCAAGCGUUGUCCGGAUUUAUUGGGCGUAAAGCGAGCGCAGGCGGAAGAAUAAGUCUGAUGUGAAAGCCCUCGGCUUAACCGAGGAAUUGCAUCGGAAACUGUUUUUCUUGAGUGCAGAAGAGGAGAGUAGAACUCCAUGUGUAGCGGUGGAAUGCGUAGAUAUAUGGAAGAAUACCAGUGGCGAAGGCGGCUCUCUGGUCUGCAACUGACGCUGAGGCUCGAAAGCAUGGGUAGCGAACAGGAUUAGAUACCCUUGGUAGUCCAUGCCGUAAACGAUGAGUGCUAAGUGUUGGGAGGCUUCCGCCUCUCAGUGCUGCAGCUAACGCAUUAAGCACUCCGCCUGGGGGAGUACGACCGCAAGGUUGAAAC